RNAcentral lists this ribosomal RNA (283 nucleotides) under Celeribacter halophilus. RNAcentral's name for it is "partial 16S ribosomal RNA". It matches the Rfam family "Bacterial small subunit ribosomal RNA", at positions 243 to 543 of the family's 1533-position model. The record is from RNAcentral. Lineage: Bacteria; Pseudomonadati; Pseudomonadota; Alphaproteobacteria; Rhodobacterales; Roseobacteraceae.
ACUUAGUUGGUGGGGUAAUGGCCUACCAAGACUACGAUCUAUAGCUCGUUUGAGAGGAUGAUCAGCAACACUGGGACUGAGACACGGCCCACACUCCUACGGGAGGCAGCAGUGGGGAAUCUUAGUCAAUGGGGGCAACCCUGAUCUAGCGAUGCCGCGUGAGUGAUGAAGGCCUUAGGGUCGUAAAGCACUUUCGCCUGUGAUGAUAAUGACAGUAGCAGGUAAAGAAACCCCGGCUAACUCCGUGCCAGCAGCCGCGGUAAUUCGGAGGGGGUUAGCGUUG